GCUCCUCGCGCCGAUCCAGACUCCUACGGCGGCAGCAGUGGGGAAUAUUAGCACAAUGGGCGAAAGCCUGAUGCAGCGACGCCGCGUGAGGGAUGACGGCCCUCGGGUUGUAAACCUCUUUCAGCUCCGACGAAGCGAAAGUGACGGUAGGAGCAGAAGAAGCACCGGCCAACUACGUGCCAGCCGCCGCGUAAUAC
This 197-nucleotide ribosomal RNA is filed under the name uncultured bacterium. Its description in RNAcentral is "partial 16S ribosomal RNA". It matches the Rfam family "Bacterial small subunit ribosomal RNA", at positions 316 to 526 of the family's 1533-position model. The record is from RNAcentral.